Molecule: transfer RNA, 93 nt
Filed under: candidate division BRC1 bacterium ADurb.BinA364
Lineage: Bacteria; Candidatus Sumerlaeota
Description: tRNA-Arg
Source: RNAcentral
CGGCGCAGCGGGCCUGGCGCUGAUUCGGGCGGUCUGCGCCGCCGCGGAGCCGCUGGAUGCGGCGCGCCGGCUGAUCGCCGCCGCCAGCGCCGA